UUUCAGUUUUGUAAAGUGUUGCUGAGGAUGCGGUAGGAUACGAAUUAAGCUUGAAUCAGUGCUAACCCAACGCUGGUUCUGCUUGGGUCAGCAGCGUGUUAAUCGGAACUAGAAACGGAAACAGGCAGGUUAGCCGCAGCUUUUUAGGAAGCUGCUUAGGUGGAAGAAGAAAGGGUUUAAAGUCAUGGAUCAGGCGGUUGCCCAUAGUUUUCAGGAGUUGUUUCAGGCCAGAGGAGUAAGGCUUGAAGUACAAUUAGUAAAAAACUUUUUAGGUAAGAUAGAUAGCUGUUGCCCAUGGUUCAAGGAAGAAGAAACACUAGAUUGUGGAACCUGGGAGAAAGUUGGUGAGGCCUUAAAAAUCACUCAGGCAGAUAAUUUUACCCUAGGCCUCUGGGCGCUCGUAAAUGAUGCAAUAAAAGAUGCCACUUCCCCAGGGCUAAGUUGCCCCCAGGCGGAGCUUGUGGUAUCUCAGGAGGAGUGCCUGUCAGAGAGGGCCUCCUCAGAAAAAGAUCUUCUUAACUCAAAAACUGAUAAAUGUGGAAACUCGGAUGAAAAACUGAUUUUUAACAAAAAUCACUCAGAUAGAGGAGCUGCCCAUUACCUUAAUGAGAAUUGGUCCUCUUGUGAAUCUCCCGCUCCACCUGUAGUCCCCACUUCGGGAGGUGCCACUCAUAGGGACACACGACUAAGCGAGUUAGAGUUUGAGAUUAAGCUUCAGAGGCUGACUAAUGAGCUUCGGAAACUAAAAAAGAUGUCAGAAGCGGAGAAGAGUAACUCUUCUGUAGUUCACCAGGUGCCGCUAGAAAAGGUUGUGAGUCAGGCUCGUGGGAAAGGACAGAAUAUGUCUAAUACGCUAGCCUUUCCGGUAGUCGAGGUAGUUGAUCAGCAAGAUACUAGGGGCAGACAUUACCAGACCUUAGAUUUCAAGUUGAUAAAAGAGUUAAAGGCGGCUGUUGUGCAAUAUGGCCCUUCAGCCCCAUUCACUCAAGCAUUACUGGACACAGUUGUGGAGUCACACUUAACCCCUUUAGAUUGGAAGACUCUUUCUAAGGCUACCCUGUCAGGAGGAGAUUUUUUGCUUUGAGAUUCUGAAUGGCGAGACGCCAGUAAGAAAACUGCUGCUUCUAACGCUCAGGCUGGUAAUUCAGACUGGGAUAGCAACAUGCUU
This 1168-nucleotide long non-coding RNA is filed under the name Mus spicilegus (steppe mouse). Its description in RNAcentral is "lncRNA (ENSMSIG00000008010.1)". The record is from RNAcentral. Lineage: Eukaryota; Metazoa; Chordata; Mammalia; Rodentia; Muridae.